This 114-nucleotide ribosomal RNA is filed under the name uncultured eukaryote. RNAcentral's name for it is "partial small subunit ribosomal RNA". It matches the Rfam family "Eukaryotic small subunit ribosomal RNA", at positions 1675 to 1785 of the family's 1831-position model. The record is from RNAcentral.
GUCGCUACUACCGAUUGGAUGGUUUAGUGAGAUCCUUGGAUUGGUCCCGGUGCGGCUUCUGGUCGCGCCGGAGUGCCGAAAAGAAUGUCGAACUUGAUCAUCUAGAGGAAGUAA